CACCUCUCUAAGCCUCGGCUCCAAUUCCUUAUUCUUCUUAGCAAUAGUAUGUAGAUCAAAAAUCUUUUUCUCCUAUUUAUUGACCUUUCACUGAUGAUCCAGUAGGUUUUGAUUCUUCUCCUUUAGUGCCUUCAACUUUUCUUCAAGUUGAUGUUUGAGUCCUGCAGUGAGUCGGACUUCUUUUUCUUCUCCUCCCAGAGAAUGAUCAGAUUGGCAUCCAUG
This 222-nucleotide long non-coding RNA is filed under the name Elaeis guineensis (African oil palm). RNAcentral's name for it is "long non-coding RNA (EGUI_LNC041229)". Lineage: Eukaryota; Viridiplantae; Streptophyta; Magnoliopsida; Arecales; Arecaceae. The record is from RNAcentral.